RNAcentral lists this transfer RNA (60 nucleotides) under Crocidura lasiura. RNAcentral describes it as "tRNA-Ser". Lineage: Eukaryota; Metazoa; Chordata; Mammalia; Eulipotyphla; Soricidae. The record is from RNAcentral.
GAGAAAGAUUGCAAGAACUGCUAAUUCAUGCUUCCAUGUUUAAACACAUGGCUUUUUCAC